RNAcentral lists this ribosomal RNA (1468 nucleotides) under Limosilactobacillus fermentum. Its description in RNAcentral is "bacterial SSU rRNA". It matches the Rfam family "Bacterial small subunit ribosomal RNA". The record is from RNAcentral. Lineage: Bacteria; Bacillati; Bacillota; Bacilli; Lactobacillales; Lactobacillaceae.
UGCGGGGGGGUGCCUAUACAUGCAGUCGAACGCGUUGGCCCAAUUGAUUGACGGUGCUUGCACCUGAUUGAUUUUGGUCGCCAACGAGUGGCGGACGGGUGAGUAACACGUAGGUAACCUGCCCAGAAGCGGGGGACAACAUUUGGAAACAGAUGCUAAUACCGCAUAACAGCGUUGUUCGCAUGAACAACGCUUAAAAGAUGGCUUCUCGCUAUCACUUCUGGAUGGACCUGCGGUGCAUUAGCUUGUUGGUGGGGUAACGGCCUACCAAGGCGAUGAUGCAUAGCCGAGUUGAGAGACUGAUCGGCCACAAUGGGACUGAGACACGGCCCAUACUCCUACGGGAGGCAGCAGUAGGGAAUCUUCCACAAUGGGCGCAAGCCUGAUGGAGCAACACCGCGUGAGUGAAGAAGGGUUUCGGCUCGUAAAGCUCUGUUGUUAAAGAAGAACACGUAUGAGAGUAACUGUUCAUACGUUGACGGUAUUUAACCAGAAAGUCACGGCUAACUACGUGCCAGCAGCCGCGGUAAUACGUAGGUGGCAAGCGUUAUCCGGAUUUAUUGGGCGUAAAGAGAGUGCAGGCGGUUUUCUAAGUCUGAUGUGAAAGCCUUCGGCUUAACCGGAGAAGUGCAUCGGAAACUGGAUAACUUGAGUGCAGAAGAGGGUAGUGGAACUCCAUGUGUAGCGGUGGAAUGCGUAGAUAUAUGGAAGAACACCAGUGGCGAAGGCGGCUACCUGGUCUGCAACUGACGCUGAGACUCGAAAGCAUGGGUAGCGAACAGGAUUAGAUACCCUGGUAGUCCAUGCCGUAAACGAUGAGUGCUAGGUGUUGGAGGGUUUCCGCCCUUCAGUGCCGGAGCUAACGCAUUAAGCACUCCGCCUGGGGAGUACGACCGCAAGGUUGAAACUCAAAGGAAUUGACGGGGGCCCGCACAAGCGGUGGAGCAUGUGGUUUAAUUCGAAGCUACGCGAAGAACCUUACCAGGUCUUGACAUCUUGCGCCAACCCUAGAGAUAGGGCGUUUCCUUCGGGAACGCAAUGACAGGUGGUGCAUGGUCGUCGUCAGCUCGUGUCGUGAGAUGUUGGGUUAAGUCCCGCAACGAGCGCAACCCUUGUUACUAGUUGCCAGCAUUAAGUUGGGCACUCUAGUGAGACUGCCGGUGACAAACCGGAGGAAGGUGGGGACGACGUCAGAUCAUCAUGCCCCUUAUGACCUGGGCUACACACGUGCUACAAUGGACGGUACAACGAGUCGCGAACUCGCGAGGGCAAGCAAAUCUCUUAAAACCGUUCUCAGUUCGGACUGCAGGCUGCAACUCGCCUGCACGAAGUUGGAAUCGCUAGUAAUCGCGGAUCAGCAUGCCGCGGUGAAUACGUUCCCGGGCCUUGUACACACCGCCCGUCACACCAUGAGAGUUUGUAACACCCAAAGUCGGUGGGGUAACCUUUUAGGAACCAGCCCGCCGUA